UGUCGGCGACCGGCGCGCGGUGCGUAACGCGUAUGACCAACCUACCCAUUACAGGGGGAUAACACUGAGAAAUCGGUACUAAUACCCCAUAACAUCCAGGGAGGCAUCUUCUUGGGUUGAAAACUCCGGUGGUAAUGGAUGGGCAUGCGUUGUAUUAGUUAGUUGGUGGGGUAACGGCUCACCAAGACAACGAUACAUAGGGGGACUGAGAGGUUAACCCCCCCACAUUGGUACUGAGACACGGACCAAACUCCUACGGAAGGCAGCAG
This 269-nucleotide ribosomal RNA is filed under the name uncultured bacterium. RNAcentral's name for it is "partial 16S ribosomal RNA". It matches the Rfam family "Bacterial small subunit ribosomal RNA", at positions 86 to 354 of the family's 1533-position model. The record is from RNAcentral.